GAGAACUGCGAGAAGUCAACCUAGUACGAGAGGACUAGGUUGGACUAACCUAUGGUGCACCGGUUGUUAUGCCAAUAGCAACACCAGGUAGCUAAGUUGGUAUGGAAGAACCACUGGGCUGUGGGAAAUCCUUCUCUAUACAAAUUCUC
This 149-nucleotide non-coding RNA is filed under the name Solanum tuberosum (potato). RNAcentral's name for it is "Bacterial large subunit ribosomal RNA". It matches the Rfam family "Bacterial large subunit ribosomal RNA", at positions 2657 to 2813 of the family's 2925-position model. The record is from Rfam by way of RNAcentral. Lineage: Eukaryota; Viridiplantae; Streptophyta; Magnoliopsida; Solanales; Solanaceae.